Long non-coding RNA from Mauremys reevesii (Reeves's turtle), 974 nucleotides. RefSeq lists it as uncharacterized. The record is from RefSeq and is a predicted model, not a curated record. Lineage: Eukaryota; Metazoa; Chordata; Testudines; Geoemydidae. The transcript has 5 exons.
CAUAGGUGUGGAGGAUGUCCUAGAGCUUGUGUUGGGAGUCCUGGAUCUCCUCUAUGCAAUCUGAAGUCCCCUGGUGACUCUGCACAGCAGAUCUUGGAACUGCCUGAAGUCAUCUGGAGGGAAAAGGGAUGUUGAAGUCACUGCUUCAUCCAGCAAUGAUGACAGUUGUCCAGCCUGUUCUGGUAGAACCGCCAAAACCAGAGUGUAGCAUUCCUCCUCCUUUAUCAGAUCUGGGGUUAAAUUGAUGGUUCCCUCAGAGGGGAGGCAGGCAGCAACUCCCUGGAGGAUUGGAUAGAUUCUGAAAGAGGGCACUGGUGCAAGGGUCCCCAAUAUGGCCAGUAAGAGGGUCAACAGGUGGCCAUGGAGAUCACCAUGGCAGACCAGUGACAGAUUAGGCAGUGGUUAGUCCCAGGGCGUAUGGGGCUCCUGGGAAAUGGAUAAGGGUGGUACAGGAGGAGUGGUUCCUUCAAUGGUUCUGAAUCUCCCGAGGAGGAAAAGGCUGAUAUGGCUUCCAGUGGAGGUACCAUCAGUGCUGUUGGAGAGAUCUGCAGUCAGUGAAAGUGCUCAAGAUGAUGUCACCUUGGAAUAGAAGAGACUCUAACAACAAUUCAACACUGAUCUGAGCUGGGCAAAUCUCAUUUGAUACUACAGAGAACAGCAUGCAGCAACUAGAGGUCUAUAAAAGCCCCUGAGAGAUUUUAGCAGAAUUUCACAUUUGCAUGCUCACCCAGUUUGUGAAACAGACCCAUAUUACCUAACUGAAUGAUAUGAAGUCUUGGACUGAUGAUCAACACAGCUGCUUUGACCACUUGGCACCGUAAGAGGAUUCUGAAUAUGCUAUUAAAAAUAAGAAAAAAAGGGAAGUAUCCAUUAGAAACUGCUUACAGGUCUGGAGUAUUAUACACAGUCCCAAGAAAGAUCUUCUCAUUCUUCAGCCUCCGAGUAUUUUCCUUCUCCAGAGUCAAAGCCAGAGC